This 1350-nucleotide long non-coding RNA is filed under the name Chrysemys picta bellii (western painted turtle). Its description in RNAcentral is "lncRNA (ENSCPBG00000015879.1)". The record is from RNAcentral. Lineage: Eukaryota; Metazoa; Chordata; Testudines; Emydidae.
CCCCCACCACACAGCUCCACCCCCCCAGCGACCCCUACCCCCACCACACAGCCCGCCCCCGGGACACUCCUGCUGGCGGCGCGGCUCCUUUAAGAAGUAUCUGCGAGAGCAGCGCGGAAGCGGCCGGUGCCUGGGUGAGACCCGCAGGGCAGCGCAGCGCCCGGCAGGGGCAGGAGGCGGGGUGCGCCGCGCCGGCUCUGGGGCAGCGGAGCAGCCACUCCGAGGAACGGGCCGGAUCCCUGCAGGCUGGCGGCGGGGCAGUUGCUGCCGGGACUCCCUAGAUAGUUAGGGAGCCGCCGCCGGGGACACGGGACGCAACAGGGUAAGUCGCUCAGCUCAGCUCCGGGCAGGGCGGGCCAGGCACCGCCUCCCCCCGGGGCACGGCUCUGGUCCGGGGGGUGGGCAGGGAACUACACCCCCGCCCCCGCUAGGCACGCCUCUCCACCCCCGGGCACCGCUCUUUCCGGGUGUGGGCGCCGGGGAUCCCCUCCCCCCGGGCAGACUCUGCUCCUGGGGCGGGGGGCCGCGGGGCACGAGGUCGCUCUGCUCUGUCUCCCCGGCCGGCAGCCUGGGUCCCUCCCCGUGCAGCUGGGGAGAGUGCGCGGUACGGCCGCCUCCCCCCGGCUCGCCGAGCGGUGUCCCUGCCCCAGAGUCACUCGCAGCCGGGCUGCUGCGGGGCACUGAGCAGCGCUGCGCUGCGUGCCUUGGCCGUGCGCACGCCCCCCGCCGGGCUGGGAGCCGCCUGCCGCGCUCGCUCACUCGCUCGGGGAAGUUUCCCUUUGUUGGUAACUCUCCUUUCUCCUGGCGGUGCCGCGGGCGUAGGGCGGCGCGGAGCAGGUGGCUGUGCUGCGGGGCCUUCGCUGGAGACACCCGCCUGCAGCGAGGGUGCAGUGCCUACAGCUCAAAGCCCAUCCCGUUUUGAGAAGUGAACAUUUUGACGCCGUUCCACUUGUGAAGCCAUAUGGCCUAAUGAUUAGCAUGUGAGGUAAGCCCUGUAUAGAAAAACUGUGGAUUUGUAAAAUUUGACUUUCAUUUGUAACUGCUUUCCCUCUUUGAGAGGUUGCCCAGCUGCUUUGUGCAUGACUGAGUGUUUAAAAUGAGGCACUGUUUACCUCAACUCUGACAUGGACAUUCCACUACUAUUGCUGACAAUACAGGGUGAGGAUGAAAAUCAAUGGUAGCCUCUCUGGGAGGCAAAGGGAUUAGAGAGAUGAUAAAUAUUAGGGAAAAUGUAUACUGACCCCUCUUAGUGGAGAAAUGCUUUUCCACAUAGCAAUUUUAUUGAACAGAACAGCAAAACGAGGAAAAUGUUGGGAUAAAAGAUAUUUAAUAGCACAGGUGCUGUACCUA